This 440-nucleotide ribosomal RNA is filed under the name uncultured bacterium. RNAcentral's name for it is "partial 16S ribosomal RNA". It matches the Rfam family "Bacterial small subunit ribosomal RNA", at positions 338 to 795 of the family's 1533-position model. The record is from RNAcentral.
CCUACGGGUGGCAGCAGUGGGGAAUAUUGCACAAUGGGGGAAACUCUGAUGCAGCGACGCCGCGUGAGUGAAGAAGUACUUCGGUAUGUAAAGCUCUAUCAGCAGGGAAGAAAAUGACGGUACCUGAUUAAGAAUCCCCGUCUCACUACGUGCCAGCAGCCGUGGUAAUACGUAGGGGGCAAGCGUUAUCCGGAUUUACUGGGUGUAAAGGGAGUGUAGACGGAAUGACAAGUCUGUAGUGAAAUGCCGGGGCUUAACCCCGGAACUGCAUUUGAAACUGGGAAGCUUGAGUGCAGGAGAGGUGAGUGGAAUUCGUAGUGUAGCGGUGAAAUGCUUAGAUAUUAGGAAGAACACCGGUGGCGAAGGCAGCUUACUGGACUGUAACUGACGUUGAGGCUCGAAAGCGUGGGGAGCAAACAGGAUUAGAUACCCUAGUAGUC